AAGUCAGCUCCAUUUAUAACAGAAGUAAUAAAAUCAUUGCCCGAUUCAGCCAAUUCCCAUGUCAUGCAAGCAGCUGGAGCAAAUGUAACACAGCUAGCCAUUGAUAAUUCAUUUUGCUCCCGCAAUACAUAUGUUAAAAGAGCAGCAGUGCCUCCACCCAAAGAGUGUCCUACAAUCUUGAGUUUGUAAUCAGGAUAUUGCCCAAGAGCCUUUUU
This 215-nucleotide unclassified non-coding RNA is filed under the name Hevea brasiliensis (rubber tree). Lineage: Eukaryota; Viridiplantae; Streptophyta; Magnoliopsida; Malpighiales; Euphorbiaceae. The record is from RNAcentral.